Molecule: non-coding RNA, 31 nt
Filed under: Mus musculus (house mouse)
Lineage: Eukaryota; Metazoa; Chordata; Mammalia; Rodentia; Muridae
Source: RNAcentral
GACCAUUACAGUGCCUGGCAGACAUAUGGCC